RNAcentral lists this ribosomal RNA (604 nucleotides) under uncultured bacterium. Its description in RNAcentral is "bacterial SSU rRNA". It matches the Rfam family "Bacterial small subunit ribosomal RNA", at positions 66 to 681 of the family's 1533-position model. The record is from RNAcentral.
ACGGAAUUUACAUGAAGCCUAGCGAUUGUAAAUUUAGUGGCGGACGGGUGAGUAACGCGUGGGUAACCUGCCUUGUACUGGGGGACAACAGUUGGAAACGACUGCUAAUACCGCAUAAGCGCACAGCUUCGCAUGAAGCAGUGUGAAAAACUCCGGUGGUACAAGAUGGACCCGCGUCUGAUUAGCUGGUUGGUGAGGUAACGGCCCACCAAGGCGACGAUCAGUAGCCGGCCUGAGAGGGCGAACGGCCACAUUGGGACUGAGACACGGCCCAAACUCCUACGGGAGGCGGCAGUGGGGAAUAUUGCACAAUGGGGGAAACCCUGAUGCAGCAACGCCGCGUGAGUGAGGAAGUAUUUCGGUAUGUAAAGCUCUAUCAGCAGGAAAGAAAAUGACGGUACCUGACUAAGAAGCCCCGGCUAACUACGUGCCAGCAGCCGCGGUAAUACGUAGGGGGCAAGCGUUAUCCGGAUUUACUGGGUGUAAAGGGAGCGUAGACGGUUUUGCAAGUCUGAAGUGAAAGCCCGGGGCUUAACCCCGGGACUGCUUUGGAAACUGUAGGACUAGAGUGCAGGAGAGGUAAGUGGAAUUCCUAGUGUAGCGG